This 400-nucleotide ribosomal RNA is filed under the name uncultured bacterium. Its description in RNAcentral is "bacterial SSU rRNA". It matches the Rfam family "Bacterial small subunit ribosomal RNA", at positions 28 to 417 of the family's 1533-position model. The record is from RNAcentral.
GAUCAACGCUGGCGGCGUGCCUAACACAUGCAAGUCGAACGCGAAAAGGGGCAACCCUGAGUAGAGUGGCGUCCGGGUGAGUAACACGUGGAUAAUCUGCCUGCGGGCGGGGAAUAACUUUCCGAAAGGGGAGCUAAUACCGCAUAACACCGUAAUGGGGCAUCCUGAGACGGUCAAAGAGGGGGAUCGCAAGACCUCUCGCCUGUAGAGGAGUCCGCGGCCGAUUAGCUAGUUGGGAGGUAAAGGCUCACCAAGGCGACGAUCGGUAGCUGGUUUGAGAGAACGACCAGCCACACUGGGACUGAGACACGGCCCAGACUCCUACGGGAGGCAGCAGUGGGGAAUUUUGGACAAUGGGCGCAAGCCUGAUCCAGCCAUGCCGCGUGCGGGAUGAAGGCCU